Pelobates cultripes (western spadefoot toad) is the source of this 845-nucleotide non-coding RNA. The record is from the annotation of a GenBank genome assembly. NCBI's taxonomy places the organism in Eukaryota, Metazoa, Chordata, Amphibia, Anura, Pelobatidae.
AACACACUAUGGCUAUUAAGUAGCGUUUGUUCGUAUGGUUCAUACGAACAAACCUACCGAACGGCGCCCCCCUGACAUUUGUGUGAAGGAAUCAGGCCGAUUUUAGUUCCAUGUGAUCGAUGCCCAAACACCGCUGCCUGCAUUCCAGCUAACAAGAUGGCCGCAAACACAGUUCCCACGUGUUCGGGCAUAUGAACGGCGGCCACCGAUCCACACAAUUAGAACACACGAUAAUUGAAGUGUCAGGAGAGGUUACUAGGGGUUAACAAGCCCAGAGGUAGUCCGCAGUUCAUGAGUUGGUUCGGUUCCCGAAAAGUACACAUAAAUCCCACGAACUAAGUCUGUUUGUAAGCCUUUUCCAUGGACCAUAGUCAGUGGGCAGAAGGCUAGCUUCCACACUCCUCCAAGAGGCCGUGGCGAACGUCCAGGCCAAGUGGCGUUCGUCACAGUGGCCUUUUGGAAUGGCUUCAAGGUCAGCCUCUUGUCUUGGCCACAGACUAUGGAUCUGGUCCCAAGAGCCCCUGAAAGAGGGUUGUGAUGGAAGCAAUUGAAAAACAUACUAUUCAUUGUUACUUGAUAACUCUGCAGCGCCCUCUGCUGACUGAAUAGAAGUGUGUACAUGUACAUAAUGCUGGUAUGCAAAUUAGGGUAACCAAAUGAGUAGUUAAAUGUAUAUAUUGUUGCUUUUUGUUGUGUUUGAAAAUGUUACUUGUAUUAUAUCGUUCAUGUAUUAAAUAUAUUUGCUUGUUCUCUUAUGUGCUAUAUAUUUGUAUGUUAAAUGUCUGUCACAUCAUGUUUAAAAACUAGUCCCCAAAGGCUAGAAUUGUGUGUUAGUGUCUUUGAAU